This 1893-nucleotide long non-coding RNA is filed under the name Paramuricea clavata. Lineage: Eukaryota; Metazoa; Cnidaria; Anthozoa; Malacalcyonacea; Plexauridae. The record is from RNAcentral.
UGCAGAGCAUAUACUGUUUACCAUUUUACCUUAUUGUGAUAGCAGGGGUGGGUAAAAGAAUUACUUUCUUCAAAUAUUUAUAAGCUGCUGACGUUAUCGUGUACAGUGUAAAUAAAGUAGAAUAGUUGUGACUUGUAAGUUGAGUAAAGAGUGAUAUAUCUCAAAAUGUUGAAAUAUUUUCUGGAAAAUUUUCUGCAAAACUCUAAACUCUGGGAACGAGGUUCCCAGGUUCCGAUACUUUUUCUACCCCUGAUCAACACUGAAAUACAGUGGCGUUCUUUAUGCUAAAGUCCCCGGUAUAAAAACUGGAAUAGGCCCCUGCCCAUUUUAAGUGGCAACCGGGGGGGGCUACGUCAAAAAGAUGCUAAAUUUGCUGAAAUACAUCAAAUUCGCCACUUUGUUAUCCUUGUUCAGUGGAUCCCUAAAUUAUUUAGGCCCCUGGCAUGCUGUAAUAUAGUGGAAAGCUUCAUAUUGAUAGGGAUACAACUACCUGAAAAAUACAAGGAGAACUUCGACGUUUUGAGCGAAGGUCCUUCGUCUGGAACUUGGCUACUAACUUAUUAUUGGGACUUCUAUGCUAGCACAGACCAUUCAAAACUGCAAUAUCCUCACUAUUAGAAACCUACUGAUGAUACCAAAACUUUUGAAAAUGGCGUGUUAAGGUAAGUACAGUAAUUAUUACCGACCAACGGGAAUUUUCCUACUAAUCCCGUUUGCAGGUCAGGCGUGAACAUUAGCUCGUACCCAUGCUUUUGCGACGUAUGUGGAUGACGAUUUCAAUCACAAGAUCGUUUCUUGGUGGUCCUUUAUGCAAUUUACAAAAUCAAUAUGAAAUAACACGAAAAUCAGUGAAAAGUAAAAAAAGCACAAAUUAAAAGUUUAAACGUAGCGAAAGGCAAAACAUGCUGUUUGACAAUUUCAGGCUUCAGAAAGUUCAGAUAUUUUCAUUCUUGAACUUUUAGUUCGCGCUAACUUUUAAGUUUCGUUCAGGAAAAUAUUCAUUUUUGACAUCACAGUAAAACUACCCUAUUAAUAUAUCCGAAUAUAAGCGCAUGCGCCUUCUAACCGUCAAAAUUUGUGACAUGAACUGACCGACCAGAACCAUUUUCUUAGUACAAAUACUUUAAGUUUUAAAUUAUCAACAAUGUCUAUUAUAAAUUGCAAUUAUAUGGUUAAUGAUAAUUUUUAUUGUUUUGCACUAUUAAAAAUAUAUAAAUCAUUGCGCCAAUUCUCGCUCGAAUUCUCGUACCCAGACCACAUGCGCGUAAAUCUGGGUAAAAGAGUCCAAUGCGCCUAUAAGUGAAAUUUUAUAGGUGCACGCGCCUAUAUGAAACGUUAAUUUUUACUCAACAAUUUUUAAAAAAUUGCAGAAAAUUCGUCUAAAGACGCUGUGCUUAUAUGUGGGAUGAUAGAGUAACAGUUCUUUUCAUAUUAUAUAGGUAGCAUACAGGGGCGCCGGAACAAUGUGAAGGCAAGGAUUGUUUACCAUUUACAUGGAAAACCCAUCCGGUUUGAAAUUGUGCUAAUGGUAAGCAAAAUUUCGAAUAGAAAAUCCCAUUCGGAUUAUACGCUUUCCAUUUAGAGUGACUGACCGAAAGGCACUGAAGGGUUGUUUACCAUUUACAUGGAAAACCCAUUCGGUUUGAAUUAAAUCGCGAAGAGCCUGGAACUGGUGCAAAAAUAAAAAAAAAGAUGUAAAUGGAACAAAAUUCACCGGUUGAAACGUUCCAAUCGGUAAGAGAGGACAACCUUUUCAAACAAACCGUUCAUUCCGGGAAAGUUCCGGUUGGGCCGUCGAAAUAUGCUUGUUCAUGUAAAUGGUAAACAACCAAGGGCACCGAAUAGAUACCGGACCAGAAGUGUCACUCCUAUAUGUUUUGGCUGAAGGAAAAC